GUUGGGGAUGGGCUCGCGGCCUAUCAGUUUGUUGGUGAGGUAAUGGCUCACCAAGACGACGACGGGUAGCCGGCCUGAGAGGGCGACCGGCCACACUGGGACUGAGACACGGCCCAGACUCCUACGGGAGGCAGCAGUGGGGAAUAUUGCACAAUGGGGGAAACCUGAUGCAGCGACGCAGCGUGCGGGAUGACGGCCUUCGGGUUGUAAACCGCUUUCAGCAGGGAAGAAGCGCAAGUGACGGUACCUGCAGAAGAAGUACCGGCUAACUACGUGCCAGCAGCCGCGGUAAUACGUAGGGUACGAGCGUUGUCCGGAAUUAUUGGGCGUAAAGAGCUCGUAGGUGGUUGGUCACGUCUGCUGUGGAAACGCAACGCUUAACGUUGCGCGUGCAGUGGGUACGGGCUGACUAGAGUGCAGUAGGGGAGUCUGGAAUUCCUGGUGUAGCGGUGAAAUGCGCAGAUAUCAGGAGGAACACCGGUGGCGAAGGCGGGACUCUGGGCUGUAACUGACACUGAGGAGCGAAAGCAUGGGGAGCGAACAGGAUUAGAUACCCUGGUAGUCCAUGCCGUAAACGUUGGGCACUAGGUGUGGGGGGCAUUCCACGUUCUCCGCGCCGUAGCUAACGCAUUAAGUGCCCCGCCUGGGGAGUACGGUCGCAAGGCUAAAACUCAAAGGAAUUGACGGGGGCCCGCACAAGCGGCGGAGCAUGCGGAUUAAUUCGAUGCAACGCGAAGAACCUUACCAAGGCUUGACAUACACCGGACCGUCCUGGAAACAGGUCUUCUUCUUUGAAGCUGGUGUACAGGUGGUGCAUGGUUGUCGUCAGCUCGUGUCGUGAGAUGUUGGGUUAAGUCCCGCAACGAGCGCAACCCUCGUUCUAUGUUGCCAGCAUGUGAUGGUGGGAACUCAUAGGAGACUGCCGGGGUCAACUCGGAGGAAGGUGGGGAUGACGUCAAAUCAUCAUGCCCUUUAUGUCUUGGGCUUCACGCAUGCUACAAUGGCUGGUACAGAGAGAGGCAGACCCGUGAGGGCAAGCGAAUCCCUUAAAGCCAGUCUCAGCUUAGUCGUAGUCUGCAAUUCGACUACGUGAAGUCGGAGUCGCUAGUAAUCGCAGAUCAG
RNAcentral lists this ribosomal RNA (1122 nucleotides) under Brevibacterium sp. LC187. RNAcentral's name for it is "bacterial SSU rRNA". It matches the Rfam family "Bacterial small subunit ribosomal RNA", at positions 218 to 1352 of the family's 1533-position model. Lineage: Bacteria; Bacillati; Actinomycetota; Actinomycetes; Micrococcales; Brevibacteriaceae. RNAcentral also lists the same sequence under 1 other name. The record is from RNAcentral.